CCGGCACCAGUUGGAGGAGUCACAUACCACCACUAGGUGGCACUAAAAGUAACAAAGUACCCAAUUCGCAAACCCCAGGUCCAUUUUGAAUGACUAGAAACCAAGACUGGGCAGAUGUUUGCCAGUUGGAGGUCAUUAUGCUUCCUGCUACCUUCAGGGACAUCUUCUACCUGCUGGUGAUUAGUGGCUUCAACAACUCUAUUUGGCAAUUAAAAGAUGACUAUCAUACUAACAUUUCCCUGCAUCAUAACAUAUACCCAGUGAGUAAGGUAUACUAAUUGAACAUUGUUGCACUAGGAGACCCUGCUGGGGUCAAAAGAAACAGUGUAACUGGGCAGAUCAUAGAUCCAUGAGUGUUAAUAAGUAGGUUGAAAUUGGGGGAGAAUAUAUCAGCCCCAAAAAGCAUAAUACUCUCCACGUUCAGAAGACAGUAAGUCUUCCUGAGGAAAUAUUUAAUCCAGGCCUGCAUGAAAGUUUUCUGUGUAAAUGGUAUGCUAUAAGGCAUUUCUGGUCACGAGGACUGCAAAAGCAGAGGCGGUAUGUAUGGGCAAAGGGGGAGAAAUGAUUGAGUGUGGAAGUAGAGACCCACUCCUCCUGGAGACUGGAGAACACAGCGUGUCUACCACUAAUGUAACCUUUCCCUUCUCUCUCUUGAAGUCACCACACUAUCUCCAAAGACUGAGGCCCCUCCAGUUCACCAGCCCUCCACCAACACUUCAGUAAGCCGCCAUCCCAGAGUUUAUGGAGCAUCUUCUGAAACACCUACCAAGCCCUCAGCGCUCCUGCCAGCUACCACAGCCUUCAAAACCUCUGCUCGGCAAGCAUCCAGGCUCCUCGAGGCCAGCUACAGCCACCACACCAGACUUCAUGGGGAAAGGACACCCCACUACGGUUCACAGUAUGGGAGAGAAGACCGAGGGCUUCACAUCUCCAUCCCAGAAUUUCACAUUCUGAUUCCGACCUUCCUGGGCUUCCUCUUGCUGGUUCUUUUGGGACUGGUGGUAAAACGAGCCAUUCAAAGGAGGAGAGCCUUCUCCAGGCGCGUAGGCCGAAUGGCGAGGAGAAUGCGAGGCCGGGGGCCUUCCCGCCAGAUCCCUACACAGCGCCGGGAUGCCCCGCAGAGGCCGCGCUCGCAGAACAACGUCUACAGCGCCUGCCCGCGGCGCGCACGGGAACCCGACAACGUGGGUGAGCGCACACACCAGCGAGGCGUGGAGAAUGAGGCCAGCCGGGAACCGGGGACAGGUAAUUGAAACUUCUUGGCCCCACACCCCGUCUCUGAAGAUGAGCUGUGAAUACGUGAGCUUGGGCCACCAGCCUGCUGUCAACGUAGAAGACCAGGAUUCAAACGAUUACAUCAAUAUUCCUGGCCUACCUCAUCUCCCUAGCAAGCCCCCAGGGCCCAGACCUUCACGCCAAUGAAUCCUAUCUGUUUGCUGAUGCCUAGCACUUUUUCCUUACAGGAUCCCUGUCACCUCGUAUGUCCUAUCCCCUAACUCAACUCUUGCCUGACUGAAUGCCUUGAGAAUAGUCAAUUACAAGCGAAUUUCUCACCCCC
This 1558-nucleotide long non-coding RNA is filed under the name Rattus norvegicus (Norway rat). RNAcentral describes it as "long non-coding RNA NONRATT008186". The record is from RNAcentral. Lineage: Eukaryota; Metazoa; Chordata; Mammalia; Rodentia; Muridae.